Molecule: ribosomal RNA, 773 nt
Filed under: Pyrenula paraminarum
Lineage: Eukaryota; Fungi; Ascomycota; Eurotiomycetes; Pyrenulales; Pyrenulaceae
Description: SSU rRNA
Rfam family: Bacterial small subunit ribosomal RNA
Source: RNAcentral
AAUGGCCUAUAGGCUGAACCAGUAACUCGGACGAAUGAAAAGUCCAGGGAUGGACAAUGAGUAAUCAUAUAAAGUUCUGGGCGUAAAGGAAUUAUGACUAUUUAUGUCCAUAAGUAUUGACCAAAUUACGUGCCAGCAGUCGCGGUAAUACGUAGAAUACGAGUGUUAUUCAUGUUUAGUCGGUUUAAAGGGUACCUAGACGGGAAAUCAAGCUAAAAUAAGGACUAGUUUCCUUGAGUUUUAUGUGGGAGAAAAGAAUUGUUAGAAGAGAGAUGAAAUGUUAUGAAACUAACAGGACUGGUAACGGCGAAGGCAUUUUUCUACGUAAAAACUGACGUUGAGGGACGAAGCCUGGGGUAACGAUAAGGAUUAGAUACCCUAAUAGUCCCAGGAGACAAUUAUGAAUGUCAUAGGCUAGCUAGUGCAUACUAAAAAUUCGAUAUUAUGUAAUAUGCAAGCCUAUAAAUGAAAGUGAAAGCAUUCCACCUUAAGAGUACAGCGGCAACGCCGAAAUUGAAAUCAUUAGACCGUUAUUGAAAACAGUAGUGAAGUAUGUUAUUUAAUUCGAUGAUCCGCGAAUAACCUUACCACAAUUUGAAUAUUAUGAAAAUAUUACAAGUGCUGCACGGCUGUCUUCAGUUAAUGUCGUGAGAUUCUGGUUAGAUCCAUUAAUUAGCGAAAACCCUUACUAUAUUUGUUUUUUAUAUAGUAGUUCGCCGUGAUAUUGGUACUAUAAAAGGGACUAAGACAAGUCAUCAUGGCCUGACAUAUUG